AUCCCAUCGAGACCCCAGUCAGUCGGAGCCCC
This 32-nucleotide ribosomal RNA is filed under the name Viola spathulata. RNAcentral describes it as "partial 28S ribosomal RNA". The record is from RNAcentral. Lineage: Eukaryota; Viridiplantae; Streptophyta; Magnoliopsida; Malpighiales; Violaceae.